RNAcentral lists this ribosomal RNA (520 nucleotides) under uncultured Diversispora. RNAcentral describes it as "SSU rRNA". It matches the Rfam family "Eukaryotic small subunit ribosomal RNA", at positions 569 to 1088 of the family's 1831-position model. The record is from RNAcentral. Lineage: Eukaryota; Fungi; Glomeromycota; Glomeromycetes; Diversisporales; Diversisporaceae.
AGCAGCCGCGGUAAUUCCAGCUCCAAUAGCGUAUAUUAAAGUUGUUGCAGUUAAAAAGCUCGUAGUUGAACUUCGGAAUUUGCCCAUUGGUCAGGCUUAACUGUCUGCACUGGUGUGACGAGUUCCUACCUUCUGAGGAAUCUCCAUGUCAUUCAGUUGGUGUGGGGGGAAAUCAGGACUGUUACUUUGAAAAAAUUAGAGUGUUUAAAGCAGGCGUCCGUCUGAAUACAUUAGCAUGGAAUAAUAAAAUAGGACGGUUUGGUUCUAUUUUGUUGGUUUCUAGGAUCACCGUAAUGAUUAAUAGGGAUAGUUGGGGGCAUUAGUAUUCAAUUGUCAGAGGUGAAAAUUCUUGGAUUUAUUGAAGACUAACUACUGCGAAAGCAUUUGCCAAGGAUGUUUUCAUUAAUCAAGAACGAAAGUUAGGGGAUCGAAGACGAUCAGAUACCGUCGUAGUCUUAACCAUAAACUAUGCCGACUAGGAUCGGACGAAGUUAAUUUUUAAUUGACUCGUUCGGCACCU